RNAcentral lists this ribosomal RNA (578 nucleotides) under uncultured Flexibacter sp. RNAcentral describes it as "bacterial SSU rRNA". It matches the Rfam family "Bacterial small subunit ribosomal RNA", at positions 951 to 1533 of the family's 1533-position model. The record is from RNAcentral. Lineage: Bacteria; Pseudomonadati; Bacteroidota; Cytophagia; Cytophagales; Flexibacteraceae.
UCGAUGAGACGCGAGGACCCUUACCUGGGCUAGAAUGCAAUUUGACCGUGGGUGAAAGCUCAUUUUGUAGCAAUACACAGAUUGUAAGGUGCUGCAUGGCUGUCGUCAGCUCGUGCCGCGAGGUGUUGGGUUAAGUCCCGCAACGAGCGCAACCCCUAUCACUAGUUGCCAUCAGGUAAUGCUGGGAACUCUAGUGAAACUGCCGCCGUAAGGCGUGAGAAAGGAGGGGAUGAUGUCAAGUCAUCAUGGCCUUUAUGCCCAGGGCUACACACGUGCUACAAUGGCGGGUACAAAGGGUUGCUACCUGGUAACAGGAUGCUAAUCUCAAAAAACCCGUCUCAGUUCGAAUUGAGGUCUGCAACUCGACCUCAUGAAGCUGGAAUCGCUAGUAAUCGUAUAUCAGCAAUGAUACGGUGAAUACGUUCCCGGGCCUUGUACACACCGCCGGAAUUCCAAUCACUAGUGAAUUCGCGGCCGCCUGCAGGUCGACCAUAUGGGAGAGCUCCCAACGCGUUGGAUGGGAUAGCUUGAGAAUAUAUAGUGAGUUGUAAAAAGUAGAGUACNACAGUCAAAACACC